Molecule: ribosomal RNA, 476 nt
Filed under: uncultured bacterium
Lineage: Bacteria
Description: partial 16S ribosomal RNA
Rfam family: Bacterial small subunit ribosomal RNA
Source: RNAcentral
AUUGAACGCUGGCGGCAUGCCUUACACAUGCAAGUCGAACGGUAACAGGUUAAGCUGCCGAGUGGCGAACGGGUGAGUAAUGUAUCGGAACGUGCCCAGUCGUGGGGAUAACUGCUCGAAAGAGCAGCUAAUACCGCAUACGACCUGAGGGUGAAAGCGGGGGAUCGCAAGACCUCGCGCGAUUGGAGCGGCCGAUAUCAGAUUAGGUAGUUGGUGAGGUAAAGGCUCACCAAGCCGACGAUCUGUAGCUGGUCUGAGAGGACGACCAGCCACACUGGGACUGAGACACGGCCCAGACUCCUACGGGAGGCAGCAGUGGGGAAUUUUGGACAAUGGGCGCAAGCCUGAUCCAGCCAUGCCGCGUGCGGGAAGAAGGCCUUCGGGUUGUAAACCGCUUUUGUCAGGGAAGAAAAGGUUCUGGCUAAUACCUGGGACUCAUGACGGUACCUGAAGAAUAAGCACCGGCUAACUACGUG